GGGGGGAAGCCCGGAUCCUGGGCUGUGUCCCCGGCGCCCUGGGCUCCGGGGCCUGCCCUGUUGGAUUCGCGUUCCCGGUGGCGCAGCCCCCU
Molecule: microRNA precursor, 92 nt
Filed under: Canis lupus familiaris (dog)
Lineage: Eukaryota; Metazoa; Chordata; Mammalia; Carnivora; Canidae
Description: mir-8799 microRNA precursor family
Rfam family: mir-8799 microRNA precursor family
Source: Rfam by way of RNAcentral